Molecule: ribosomal RNA, 446 nt
Filed under: uncultured bacterium
Lineage: Bacteria
Description: bacterial SSU rRNA
Rfam family: Bacterial small subunit ribosomal RNA
Source: RNAcentral
ACCUACGGGUGGCUGCAGUCGAGAAUCUUCCGCAAUGGGCGAAAGCCUGACGGAGCGACGCCGCGUGAUUGAUGAAGUCCUUCGGGACGUAAAGAUCUUUUAUGCGUGAGAAAGUUAUUGAUAGUAGCGCAUGAAUAAGGGGCUCCUAACUCUGUGCCAGCAGGAGCGGUAAUACAGAGGCCCCGAGCAUUAUCCGGAAUCACUGGGCGUAAAGGGUGUGUAGGCGGCUUAGUUAGUCUUUUGUGAAAGAUCCCCGGCUUAACCGGGGAGACGCAGGGGAAACGGCUAGGCUUUGAGGGUAUGAGAGGUAAAGGGAACUCAUGGUGUAGGGGUGAAAUCCGUUGAUAUCAUGGGGAACACCAAAUGCGAAGGCACUUUACUGGCAUACUCCUGACGCUGAAACACGAAAGCGUGGGCAUCGAAUGGGAUUAGAUACCCUUGUAGUC